This 253-nucleotide ribosomal RNA is filed under the name uncultured bacterium. Its description in RNAcentral is "partial 16S ribosomal RNA". It matches the Rfam family "Bacterial small subunit ribosomal RNA", at positions 524 to 776 of the family's 1533-position model. The record is from RNAcentral.
UACAGAGGAGCCAAGCGUUGUCCGGAUUGACUGGGCGUAAAGCGCACGCAGGUGGUCAUGCAAGUGUCGUGUGAAAGCAGCUCGCUCAACGAGCUGAGGCCAUGGCAGACUGCACAACUGGAGGUCGUGAGAGGUCGGUGGAAUUGCCGGUGUAGUGGUGACAUGCGUAGAUAUCGGCAGGAACACCCAAGGGGAAGCCAGCCGACUGGCGCGAUACUGACACUGAGGUGCGAAAGCGUGGGGAGCGAACCGG